RNAcentral lists this long non-coding RNA (217 nucleotides) under Mytilus galloprovincialis (Mediterranean mussel). The record is from RNAcentral. Lineage: Eukaryota; Metazoa; Mollusca; Bivalvia; Mytilida; Mytilidae.
GUACUGUAGAUUCAUUUAUUUUCGUGGGUACCAAUUUUCGUGGAUUGAAGAAAACUUACAUGUUCGUAGAUAUUUGAUUUCGUGGUUUUGCCGAAGUCUGCAUACAAGCCAUAGGAAAAUUUGUCAUUCGUUGAACAUUUAAUUUCGUGGUUCAACUGUUCCAACGAAAUCCACGAAAAUUGGUAUCCAACGAAUAAUAAUGAAUCCACAGUAUCUU